AACGGCCGUACCAUGCUGAAUAUACCGGUUCUCGUUCGAUCACCGAAGUUAAGCAUAUUGGGCGCGUCAGUACUUGGGUGGGUGACCACCUGGGAACACUGCGUGCCGUU
Molecule: ribosomal RNA, 110 nt
Filed under: Caerostris darwini
Lineage: Eukaryota; Metazoa; Arthropoda; Arachnida; Araneae; Araneidae
Source: RNAcentral